Long non-coding RNA from Platichthys flesus (European flounder), 1226 nucleotides. RefSeq lists it as uncharacterized. The record is from RefSeq and is a predicted model, not a curated record. Lineage: Eukaryota; Metazoa; Chordata; Actinopteri; Pleuronectiformes; Pleuronectidae. The transcript has 3 exons.
GGCUGCAUGGAAGCUAACUGACCAUUCAACUAGCAUCCCAGCUGUUAUUGUACUUCAUGAAACGUCAUCCAGCAGUUCACAUCUGCUUUGCGUGAUAAGUGUUGACAACGGAGGCAGCAAACACUUUAAACAGUCGCUACUUCUUGACAGUUCGAAGUUAACUUCCAUCAAACAUCUGCAGCUAAACGACCCCCCCACCCGGCAGUAACCACUUAGAAACAGGAGAGGUCAGCAAUGCACUAUUUCUGCGGAUCGGCCUCCUGGCUGUUGAUGGUCAGACCGUGGCCUGGAGACGCCACAUUUCGAGGUCGGGAUCACCUACAAAACAGCAGCCCUGGAGCCAGAGGACCUGGACCAUGGACACAUCAGCAGGACAGCGCUCAGCUGUACACUUGUCAGGAGCUGUUGUAGCAAAGCCAUGCAGUCAGUGGGACCGUCAACAUUACCUGUCUACGAUCAAGACAACUCAACCUGGCAGCCAGAAAAUCCCUGUCACUUCAGGCCUGCUGAUAGAGCAGUCUGAGAAUUUAGAGAAUAAGAGGCAACCAUAGGAUGUAUACACAGACAUGAUAAACCCGUGAAGAGAAUCGGUAUUGACAAUGUGAUGUGUGGAUGAUGUGAAAUUGCUCAAAUGGCCACUUUGCUUCUGGAGACCAGCUGGGAUUCUUGAAAUAAAAAUAGUUGUUAAUCCAGAUGGUUCAAACAUUUUAAGCAUUUAUGGAUAAAUAGAACGACAACAAUGAUGUUUUUCAUCUGUUGCUUAAUGGAAUUGUGGUUUCUAAGCUUUUUGUUGUGAGACGGCACUGAUUUCAGGGCAGCUAUUUCAAUUGUAUGUGGUAAAAAGAUGUUGAUGUUGAAUAACUUAUUUGUAUUUAAUUUUAAGCUUUGGUUUCCUCUUCCAUUUGCAGUGAAUCUAUUUAGUCUCUUAGUGUCUUCAUUUCACCAGCGAUGGAACAAUUGUCUUUGCACCUUCAUCCCGUGCACCUGCUUUUUCCUUGAAGCUAUCAAGUAAAAAACACCCUUUUCUUUUGCACGUUAUAAUUGGUUCAUUGUGACCAUUGUAAUUACAAGAUUCCCUUUGCUGUUCUGUGUUGCGUUUUUAUAGGAUGCCAUCGAUGAAAAGGACAAAUGUUGCUGAAUAAGAGCCAACAAUCCUGACCUUGUGCAAAGCAAGCUCUAACAUGAAAUAUUGGCUUGCCAAAAGAUUAAGUGAUGAGGUUUUUAUA